CAGGACGAACGCUGGCGGCGUGCCUAAUACCUGCAAGUCGAGCGGACAGAUGGGAGCUUGCUUCCCUGAUGUUAGCGGCGGACGGGUGAGUAACACGUGGGUAACCUGCCUGUAAGACUGGGAUAAUUCCGGGAAACCGGGGCUAAUACCGGAUGGUUGUUUGAACCGCAUGGUUCAGACAUAAAAGGUGGCUUCGGCUACCACUUACAGAUGGACCCGCGGCGCAUUAGCUAGUUGGUGAGGUAACGGCUCACCAAGGCGACGAUGCGUAGCCGACCUGAGAGGGUGAUCGGCCACACUGGGACUGAGACACGGCCCAGACUCCUACGGGAGGCAGCAGUAGGGAAUCUUCCGCAAUGGACGAAAGUCUGACGGAGCAACGCCGCGUGAGUGAUGAAGGUUUUCGGAUCGUAAAGCUCUGUUGUUAGGGAAGAACAAGUGCCGUUCAAAUAGGGCGGCACCUUGACGGUACCUAACCAGAAAGCCACGGCUAACUACGUGCCAGCAGCCGCGGUAAUACGUAGGUGGCAAGCGUUGUCCGGAAUUAUUGGGCGUAAAGGGCUCGCAGGCGGUUUCUUAAGUCUGAUGUGAAAGCCCCCGGCUCAACCGGGGAGGGUCAUUGGAAACUGGGGAACUUGAGUGCAGAAGAGGAGAGUGGAAUUCCACGUGUAGCGGUGAAAUGCGUAGAGAUGUGGAGGAACACCAGUGGCGAAGGCGACUCUCUGGUCUGUAACUGACGCUGAGGAGCGAAAGCGUGGGGAGCGAACAGGAUUAGAUACCCUGGUAGUCCACGCCGUAAACGAUGAGUGCUAAGUGUUAGGGGGUUUCCGCCCCUUAGUG
RNAcentral lists this ribosomal RNA (840 nucleotides) under Bacillus amyloliquefaciens. RNAcentral describes it as "bacterial SSU rRNA". It matches the Rfam family "Bacterial small subunit ribosomal RNA", at positions 25 to 845 of the family's 1533-position model. Lineage: Bacteria; Bacillati; Bacillota; Bacilli; Caryophanales; Bacillaceae. The record is from RNAcentral.